UAUCAUAGAAUUUCACUCGAUACUUACACAAAUAUGUCUUUUUUGGGAUAAAAAUUGCUUUCACCCUACUUUCAGUUUAUUAGUUCCUUGGCCAAAAGAAUAACGUAUAUUCAUUUCCUCCUGGAGAAUUUAACUAGAAUGAAACGUCCACUUAAAUUACAACAGGAGUUGUAAUUACAUUUGAAGGGUGGAAGAUAGACAAUUACGUUUUCUGACGAUCAGCUUUGCUUUCUUUGGGUUUUUCGAUGGAACUGGUCGUUAAGUUAUUCACAGUGGGAUAGUUUUCGCCCUUUUGCGCUCAACUGCUGCUACUCAGCAUAUCUCAAAAAAGAGCUUCUCGUCGGAGUUGCCGAUGAUGUGGCAGGGUUAACAAUUGACCGCGAAACCGUCAAAGAUGGCUCAGCGGCGGAUCCAAGUGCGGAUGAGAGAAGAAAUCGGCCACAUCCUCACGAAGAAUAAUCGCGACGUCUGCUUGAGGUUCGCGCCAGUAGCAGUGCAGCGCUCGCGAGAUGGGAAGGCUACCCGUGCAGCGCAGUCUCGACAGCGAGGAGCGUUGUGCAGCCUCUACAGCGGUCGGCGGCGGCCAGAUGAGGUGGAGGUGAGGCAAGGACUGGUUUGUCCAGUGGCGCUGGAUCCGCGUCACCGUGUUUACGGCGCUACUCUCCUGGAGGAGGGGAGAGUGGGGACAGAAAACACUCCUUGCAGCGCCACAUCGAAAACAAGGUGCCGUGUUUGCUUACCUUCACGUAACCACUGCAGAAUUUCCGCUGACAACUGUGGGUGUGGUUGCCCUGCCGUUGGCAACAAUACCAAUGAGGCUUUCUGCUACGUCACCUGGACGAAGGCGUGCAGUAAAUUCUCACAAUCACACUACGCUGCACAGAGGCUGCCCCAAACUUUAGGGUCAAAAUUGUAUACAUAGUAGUGAAUUUUUAACUGAAUACGUUUAGAGAUUGAUUUAAUAGCUGAAAAUAAAUAUUUUGUUUAUUACUGACAUAAGCAACUUACACCACAUGGCAACAACCUAAGCACAUAGCAACCAUUCUCAGUUCAUGCUUUACAGCGGCUCAUCGAGCUUCGCUGCCCUCUCUCAAAAGGUCAGCAACACUAGAUGUUUGUUCGGUGACGAUGCUGUCGUGUACAGGUUUCGUUGUUGGGCGGCCUUAAGAAAAUGCAGAAAGAUUUUGACAAAAUUUCCACAUGGUGUAAAGAAUAACACGUUCUCUUUAAAUGAGGAUAUACGUCAGACAAUGCCCAUAACAAAGAGAAAGAAUCCGACCGUAUCAGAUUACAAGAAUAGUGCUGAACGUCUUGAGCGCUUCAGAUCGCAGAAGUAUUUAAGGGUAAUACUAAAAAGCAAUACGAAAAUCAGCAUGAAAUUAGUGUUGGGGAAGGAGAUUGGAAGACUUGGUUCUGGAUAAAUGUAAUUAAUCCGUGAAGAAAACAGCAUACAAGAAGUAAGUGCAACCAAUUCCGAAGCGUUUUCCCAGUGUUUGGAGUCUUUAUGAAGUAUGCUUCCUACAGACAUCGAACGGGUUCAGUAGCGCACUGCAAAGAUCAUAGCAGGUCGGGACCACCAAACAGAGCUUCUUGGAUCAGAGAUAACCAGUUCCUAAUGCCGGUGACGAGCGGCAAAUUCCAUCGUGGGUAUUUGGAUACCAAAGCAGGAAUCUUGACAGCGAACAGUUCCUAAUCGUAGUACUGCGGCGUGACGUCCUUGAUCAAACCCAAAACCUUGCGAAAGUGGAUAAUCCACGUCUCAAGACAGAGUAAUUUAGUUAAGCGUCUGCCCAGAAAUAUUUCAUCGAUGAUAGGCAACGUGCUAGCAACUUGUGACGGCCAUCCCACUUCUUUCACUUCCAUACUUACUGAUUACAAUACAAACAUUAUGCUAAACACAUUUCCUUCAUUUAGCGUUACGUACCAUAGACGGUAGCAAAUUAGCAUAAAAGUAACUUAAUAUCGGCAACGAAUGGAACGAAAUUGUGUCUGGAAAGCAACUACUGUGACAGAAAUGGUCUUUGUUACGAGACUUCCAUCUUCAUUUUUUUAUCAAAUUUCGAGUGAGUAUUACGUCAUAAAUCAUGAAUACCAAUGAGUCUAAUUUGGGAGCCAGUCGCCACAGGCGUGGUGCAAGUCCGUCAAGGCCAUUCGGACUGGGUCCUUGGUGGCUCCGUAGCCGAACGUCGAGGACGCAGUCUGUGUUCUUGGCGAAAACUGUAACUUUAACCCUUUUAUCACAAAAUUGUUGCCAGAAAACUGUUUUCAAGAACCGCCUGUACCCGAAGGGAAUGCAAUGGCAUUCAAUUUCAUGUGUCUUUACUCCACGUCAAAUGCAGUAAUACCUUGUGAUGUGUUACAUAAUGCCACCUUCCUCAUUCCUUGUUAUUAGCAACUAAAAAUGAAAAUAUUAUAUGUGUGGCUUAUGACGAUCAUGAUAACACAUUAUUAUUACUAAUAUUCAAUCUAUUUAACAAUUAUUGUUGCAAUGUAGCGAAAUGUUAACACUCCUGCUACAUAAACAUUUUUUUCAAAAAGAUAAUAUCGAUGUGUGUGUGUGUUUACUUAUCAAUUAAUUAAUUUAAAAUACAUUAAGCAUCAUAUAAAAAUAAUUUACCUGUAAAUGGUCAGCAUGUAGCCAUAUUUUCGUUAAAAAUAUAUAAUUUUUGUAAAAUACUUCCCACAAUCCUCAUGACAGCGGUAUACAACGAACAUGAUAAAUGGCAUAUGAAAAUAACUAGAUAAUGUGGCAAUGUUACGAUGCUCUCUUGGGAUAAGAAAAUAAAGUA
Schistocerca piceifrons (Central American locust) is the source of this 2789-nucleotide RNA transcript. RefSeq lists it as uncharacterized. The record is from RefSeq and is a predicted model, not a curated record. The transcript is spliced from 5 exons. Lineage: Eukaryota; Metazoa; Arthropoda; Insecta; Orthoptera; Acrididae.